AAUGGCAGGUCAGCAUACUGCCGUGAAUACGUUCCCGGGCCCUUGUACACACCGCCCGUCACACCAUGAGAGUUGGAGAUACCCGAAGCCUGUGAGCUAACUUUUUAAGAGGCAGCAGUCGAAGGUAGAAUCAAUGAUUGGGGUGAAGUCGUAACAAGGUAAC
Molecule: ribosomal RNA, 163 nt
Filed under: uncultured bacterium
Lineage: Bacteria
Description: partial 16S ribosomal RNA
Rfam family: Bacterial small subunit ribosomal RNA
Source: RNAcentral